GAUGAACGCUGGCGGCGUGCCUAAUACAUGCAAGUCGAGCGAACAGACGAGGAGCUUGCUCCUUUGACGUUAGCGGCGGACGGGUGAGUAACACGUAGGUAACCUACCUAUAAGACUGGGAUAACUUCGGGAAACCGGAGCUAAUACCGGAUAAUAUUUCGAACCGCAUGGUUCGAUAGUGAAAGAUGGCUUUGCUAUCACUUAUAGAUGGACCUGCGCCGUAUUAGCUAGUUGGUAAGGUAACGGCUUACCAAGGCAACGAUACGUAGCCGACCUGAGAGGGUGAUCGGCCACACUGGAACUGAGACACGGUCCAGACUCCUACGGGAGGCAGCAGUCGGGAAGCUUCCGCAAUGGGCGAAAGCCUGACGGAGCAACGCCGCGUGAGUGAUGAAGGUCUUCGGAUCGUAAAACUCUGUUAUUAGGGAAGAACAAACGUGUAAGUAACUGUGCACGUCUUGACGGUACCGAAUCAGAAAGCCACGGCUAACUACGUG
This 497-nucleotide ribosomal RNA is filed under the name uncultured bacterium. RNAcentral describes it as "partial 16S ribosomal RNA". It matches the Rfam family "Bacterial small subunit ribosomal RNA", at positions 28 to 507 of the family's 1533-position model. The record is from RNAcentral.